RNAcentral lists this ribosomal RNA (320 nucleotides) under uncultured eukaryote. RNAcentral describes it as "partial 18S ribosomal RNA". It matches the Rfam family "Eukaryotic small subunit ribosomal RNA", at positions 1470 to 1796 of the family's 1831-position model. The record is from RNAcentral.
CCCUUAGAUGUCCUGGGCCGCACGCGCGCUACACUGACAUGUUCAACAAGCCUCCUAGUUCGACAGGAUUUGGGAAAUCUUUGAACGCAUGUCGUGAUAGGGAUAGAUCAUUGCAAUUAUUGAUCUUGAACGAGGAAUUCCUAGUAAACGCGAGUCAUCAGCUCGCAUUGAUUACGUCCCUGCCCUUUGUACACACCGCCCGUCGCUCCUACCGAUUGAGCGAUCCGGUGAAUGUUUUGGACUGGCGUCAGAAGCGGUUCGCUCCUGACACUACGAAAUUUUGUAAACCUUAUCGCUUAGAGGAAGGAAAAGUCGUAACA